GACGAACUUCGGCGGCGUGCUUAACACAUGCAAGUCGAACGGAAAGGCCCUGCUUUUGUGGGGUGCUCGAGUGGCGAACGGGUGAGUAACACGUGAGUAACCUGCCCUUGACUUUGGGAUAACUUCAGGAAACUGGGGCUAAUACCGGAUAGGAGCUCCUGCUGCAUGGUGGGGGUUGGAAAGUUUCGGCGGUUGGGGAUGGACUCGCGGCUUAUCAGCUUGUUGGUGGGGUAGUGGCUUACCAAGGCUUUGACGGGUAGCCGGCCUGAGAGGGUGACCGGCCACAUUGGGACUGAGAUACGGCCCAGACUCCUACGGGAGGCAGCAGUGGGGAAUAUUGCACAAUGGGCGGAAGCCUGAUGCAGCAACGCCGCGUGCGGGAUGACGGCCUUCGGGUUGUAAACCGCUUCGCCUGUGACGAAGCGUGAGUGACGGUAAUGGGUAAAGAAGCACCGGCUAACUACGUGCCAGCAGCCGCGGUGAUACGUAGGGUGCGAGCGUUGUCCGGAUUUAUUGGGCGUAAAGGGCUCGUAGGUGGUUGAUCGCGCCGGAAGUGUAAUCUUGGGGCUUAACCCUGAGCGUGCUUUCGAUACGGGUUGACUUGAGGAAGGUAGGGGAGAAUGGAAUUCCUGGUGGAGCGGUGGAAUGCGCAGAUAUCAGGAGGAACACCAGUGGCGAAGGCGGUUCUCUGGGCCUUUCCUGACGCUGAGGAGCGAAAGCGUGGGGAGCGAACAGGCUUAGAUACCCUGGUAGUCCACGCUGUAAACGGUGGGUACUAGGUGUGGGGUCCAUUCCACGGGUUCCGUGCCGUAGCUAACGCUUUAAGUACCCCGCCUGGGGAGUACGGCCGCAAGGCUAAAACUCAAAGGAAUUGACGGGGCCCCGCACAAGCGGCGGAGCAUGCGGAUUAAUUCGAUGCAACGCGUAGAACCUUACCUGGGUUUGACAUGGAUCGGGAGUGCUCAGAGAUGGGUGUGCCUCUUUUGGGGUCGGUUCACAGGUGGUGCAUGCCUGUCGUCAGCUCGUGCCGUGAGAUGUUGGGUUAAGUCCCGCAACGAACGCAACCCUUGUUCACUGUUGCCAGCACGUUAUGGUGGGGACUCAGUGGAGACCGCCGGGGUCAACUCGGAGGAAGGUGGGGAUGACGUCAAGUCCUCAUGCCCCUUAUGUCCAGGGCUUCACGCAUGCUACAAUGGCUGGUACAGAGAGUGGCGAGCCUGUGAGGGUGAGCGAAUCUCGGAAAGCCGGUCUCAGUUCGGAUUGGGGUCUGCAACUCGACCUCAUGAAGUCGGAGUCGCUAGUAAUCGCAGAUCAGCAACGCUGCGGUGAAUACGUUCCCGGGGCU
This 1345-nucleotide ribosomal RNA is filed under the name uncultured bacterium. Its description in RNAcentral is "bacterial SSU rRNA". It matches the Rfam family "Bacterial small subunit ribosomal RNA", at positions 28 to 1381 of the family's 1533-position model. The record is from RNAcentral.